UACGUAGGUGGCGAGCGUUGUCCGGAUUUACUGGGCGUAAAGGGAGCGUAGGCGGACUUUUAAGUGAGAUGUGAAAUACCCGGGCUCAACUUGGGUGCUGCAUUUCAAACUGGAAGUCUAGAGUGCAGGAGAGGAGAAUGGAAUUCCUAGUGUAGCGGUGAAAUGCGUAGGGAUUAGGAAGAACACCAGUGGCGAAGGCGAUUCUCUUGACUGUAACUGACGCUGAGGCUCGAAAGCGUGGGGAGCAAACAGGAUUAGAUACCCUGGUA
RNAcentral lists this ribosomal RNA (269 nucleotides) under uncultured prokaryote. RNAcentral's name for it is "partial 16S ribosomal RNA". It matches the Rfam family "Bacterial small subunit ribosomal RNA", at positions 524 to 792 of the family's 1533-position model. The record is from RNAcentral.